RNAcentral lists this long non-coding RNA (1724 nucleotides) under Nicotiana tabacum (common tobacco). RNAcentral describes it as "long non-coding RNA (NTAB_LNC012145)". Lineage: Eukaryota; Viridiplantae; Streptophyta; Magnoliopsida; Solanales; Solanaceae. The record is from RNAcentral.
AGGUUUAAUAAUAAGCUAUAUCCAGAUCAAUAGAGUCCAAGUUCUUAUGAAAUGCAAAACUGCUGGUUUAUUCCAGUUUAGAGAUUCUUUCCUUCUUAUUUUGGACACUGCGAUAUGGAGAGGAAUGAAGUUGUUGCACUGGUGAUCUAUGUCGAAUUCAUCUGUACCACGCGAGUUACUUAUUUAAUGUUCGUAAUAUAUAUGACAUUGAGUAGCUUUCUUGGUGUGCCGGAUCACACAAUUUACAUGUUGAUAUGGCGCUGAAAAUAUUCUGAUGCUCAAUUGACAACCUCUAGGAUCUCCUUUGCUGUUCUCAAAUUAUUUUCGUUCUUUUCAACUUGGCCACAUGUGAAAUACACCAUAUUGAUGGGGACUCAGAAAGCUUCUAUUUCAGUUUGAUAUUAUUUCCAAUAAGUAUAUCAGCCAAGGCAAAGGUUUAAUUAAUUAUGUUUUGGUAAGUAUGACUUAUUUUGUUAUGAAGCCUGCAGAUGGCUUCGGGGUUUUGUUUGUUGUCCUAACAAAUGACCAUAACAUCUUUAGGGUCACUUACAAAAUGCAGCAUUAAAAUGAGGUAUGGUUCUGCUAUGUGUACUCUGUCAGUUGUUACAACUGUGGCCACUAUCCCUUCCUAUAAUUUUCUGAGUUGAGUCACGCGCAAAAUCCAGCUGUCCGGGCAGCCCGGUGCACUAAGCUCUUGCUAUGCGCGGGGUUCGGAAAAUGACCAAAUUACAAGGGUUGAUUGUACGUAGCCUUACCAAGCAUUUUUGCAAUAUGUUAUUUUCACGGCUCAAACCCGUGAUCUCUUGAUUGGCAGCAACUUUAUCAGUUACGCCAAGGCUCCCCUUCAAAAUCUAGCUACCUUAGUAAACACAUUCCAGCAUUUCAUAGUGAGCAUUGUGCGCAGUGGCGACGUUCCAAAUGCGACAUAAUUUGAGUGGUUUCUCUCAUGGGCAAAUUACUAUUCGAGCAUGCAAACUAAAAAAACACUGAGGAUAUUGAAAGACUUUAAAUUUUAUUUAGUGAGGAAUACAUCUUAUAUAUGGUGAGGGUAACUUGAACAUUGAAGAUUUUGUUGGACAUCGACAAAGAUAUCAGAUGGCAUCUAUUCGUGUAGAAAAGUGGUUGGGAGGAGGUAAUGUUUCAACUUGUGGUGGUUGACAUGACCUUAAUCAAAGAGCAUUAUUCUUGGGACCAUCAAAGUUAAGUCUAGUUUAAACACUCGACUAUAUAUAUAUAUCGAGUAGGCAAAAAUAAUGUAAUAUAGCCAUACACCUCUCUUUGUUUGCCCUUUUUCUCCUGUGGCAUUGACUGGCUGUUUUUUUUUUUUUGGGUUAAAUUUCAGCAAACUUAUAAUUAUUACACGUAUUUUUCAACUGGAAAUUUGAGUAAUAUAUUUCUCACUUUUUGCAUAGAAUAGCUUAUCAGUGGUAACAUGUACUAACUCUUUAUAACAAUUGUAAUCACCUUAUAAGUGACGGUAUAACUUUUUUAUUAUUAUUAUACAUAGAACUAAACUCUUCCUCCUUAGGGUCUAAAAUAAUUGCGCCAACCGAAGGCACUUAAGUGCUCCUCCCUUAACCAGAGGUUUUGAGUUCGAGUCCUGGGUACGAAAAAAUCCUUGGUAGGGAGCACUUCCCCUCGAAUGGGGCCCUAUGCGGCACGAAUUCGAAUAUAGUCGAGCUCCAAUACGGGUACCGGACACCGGGUGAAAAACCAAAAAAAAA